Molecule: ribosomal RNA, 442 nt
Filed under: uncultured bacterium
Lineage: Bacteria
Description: partial 16S ribosomal RNA
Rfam family: Bacterial small subunit ribosomal RNA
Source: RNAcentral
CCUACGGGUGGCAGCAGUGGGGAAUUUUGCGCAAUGCUCGUAAGAGUGAAGCAGCGAAGCCGCGUGGGGGAAUGAAGGUCUUCGGAUUGUAAAGCUCUAUUAGCAGGGAAGAAGAAAGACGGUACCUGACUAAGAAGCCCCGGCUAACUACGUGCCAGCAGCCGCGGUAAUACGUAGGGGGCAAGCGGUAUCCGGAUUUACUGGGUGUAAAGGGAGCGUAGACGGCUGUGCAAGUCUGAAGUGAAAGCCCAGGGCUCAACCCUGGGACUGCUUUGGAAACUGUGGAGCUAGAGUGCUGGAGAGGUAAGUGGAAUUCCUAGUGUAGCGGUGAAAUGCGUAGAUAUUAGGAGGAACACCAGUGGCGAAGGCGGCUUACUGGACAGUAACUGACGUUGAGGCUCGAAAGCGUGGGGAGCAAACAGGAUUAGAUACCCCAGUAGUA